UUAAAAACUUUAGCGCCAGGCUGAUAUAAGUCAGCUGACGAGGUGAAGGGUUAUCGAGGUGAUUUCGGCGGGUGCCCUUCCGGACCGCACAAUACGUUAGCUUCAUUACAAAAAGGGAGGCGACUCCUGAACAAAAGGUGGAGCAGUGCAUAAA
Molecule: non-coding RNA, 154 nt
Organism: Eubacterium ruminantium
Lineage: Bacteria; Bacillati; Bacillota; Clostridia; Eubacteriales; Eubacteriaceae
Source: Rfam